UACGGAGGGUGCGAGCGUUGUUCGGAAUUACUGGGCGUAAAGGGCGCGUAGGCGGUUCGUUAAGUCCUGUGUGAAAUCCCCCGGCUCAACUGGGGAGCUGCACAGGAAACUAGCGGGCUUGAAUCCGGGAGAGGGAUGCGGAAUUCCAGGUGUAGCGGUGAAAUGCGUAGAUAUCUGGAGGAACACCGGUGGCGAAGGCGACAUCCUGGACCGGUAUUGACGCUGAGGCGCGAAAGCCAGGGGAGCAAACGGG
RNAcentral lists this ribosomal RNA (253 nucleotides) under uncultured bacterium. RNAcentral describes it as "partial 16S ribosomal RNA". It matches the Rfam family "Bacterial small subunit ribosomal RNA", at positions 524 to 776 of the family's 1533-position model. The record is from RNAcentral.